UAUUAAGUGUGAUAAACGUCAUGCACUCUGUCUGUAUAUGAAUAUAGGAGACUACCAAAUAAGGAGAGAUGCAAAUUUUAUGCAAGGCUAUAAAAGGCCAAGGAGCGCUUUGUGCGGGGCCGCACUCCGAUGGUGAAGACUUACUCGCUGUUAUUUUCAUUUUUUAUUACUUAUGAGUUAUUGUCUACUAAUAAAGCAAAGUAAGUCUCUGAGUAAUUUAUUUACGAGUAACAUAUUAUUCUGGAACUGAAUAUUCCUUUCGAGCCUCAAGAAGUCUGAACUCAGCUGAGCAGAUUUGAGUGCGAUCUCAGAGAUUCUGUAACCAUUUGCCAGACAUUACACGACUGAGAGACUGCAACGCCUGAAGCUAAAAAUCAUAAUUUGUGUUCUACUGAAGGAACAAAGUCACCUACAGCUUUGAUGCGCUGGGGACUCGAGAUGCUAACUUGUCUGGACAGCGAGAGUUAGCGAUGAGCAGCUCCAGAGUGGCAUUUAUCCUGAACAAUUUGGCUCUCGGUAUCGGCCUCACAGUCAUAACAGUGGUCAUUAUCAUUAAAUUAGUUCCUUGAACAACAUCGUUGAACAGAUGUUUUAUUCUGCAAAUGCAUCUAUUCAUACUGUAAAUGAUACUGUCAACUCAAAUCAAUGAUUUUUUGGAAGAAAUUAAAAAUAUUUUCCAGACCCUCUGAAGGGAAUGAUCUAAUGUACGCUUAUGUUUUAUUUCUUUUUGUAUGUAAUGCUGGCAGACUGAUAUGUUUGAUUAGCAGAAAUUAAAUGCUUUACUGCUUUUCUUUACUGCUAACAUCUAAAGACUCAUCUUUUUCGCCAGCACCAACUAAUACUAGCACUUACCUUUUCUUUUCUUGUCUAUCCUAUUCUUGGAAAAAAAAAAAAAAAAAACCUUGCUAUGAGUUCUGUGCUAGACUAACUGAGACUUGUCAUGGCACUUGUAUACUGUUGUUGUUCUCUCGUUGGUCUUAUUGGUUCUAUUGUUCUCAAUUAUAAGUCGCUUUGGAUAAAAGCAUCUGCUAAAUGAUUAAAUGUAUGUAAAUGUUUUCACUUAAAGCCGAUUUAAAAUGUUAUUUUUUUUUUUUUUUGGUAAAUUACACAUUAAAAUACAGCAUUGCACUAAAUACAUUAAUCGUUCUGGUCAUCUAUAGAGGAUUUCUCACUGGAGGAACAUUUUCAUAGUUCCUAGAACUAGAACUAUUGGCGGAAAAAUUCUCACUUUUUGGCGUGUUAGAACUGCAGGAACUAGGAACUUAUUGUUCUAGGAUCUCCGUUUGGGGGAAUUAAAUAGGGGUUAUGUGCAACGGACUUCUGCAUUCUGUUAAAUAGGUCUCACCACUUCUGGUUCAAGUAUUUUGCAUAUGCUUCAUUAAAUAUGAAGUUGUUUUACUCAAGAUUCCUUCAAAAGUAGAUACAAAUAAAAAAAAUUUUAUGCAGUUAUUUAAAGACCACAUGUCAUUGUUACCCAUAAGGAAGGUGACACCAGUGACAGUAACACCAGUGACAAUUUUCAUGAAAAAUGCAUUUUACUAAAUGGCUGCUGCAAGGUAUGAAACCACAUGUUGUUAUUCAUGGUGUACUCACUAAAUUAAGUAGUUUAAUCCAUUUGUAUUCCAUUUUAAUUAAUUUUUAUUUUAUUUUUUUACAAUUCCCUAAAAACCAAGUAAAUCAUACCAGUGACUUCAACUAAAAGGUUAAUAUAAAAUGGACUUAUAAAAUAAUAAUAAAAUCUGUUG
Long non-coding RNA from Cyprinus carpio carpio, 1745 nucleotides. The record is from Ensembl. Lineage: Eukaryota; Metazoa; Chordata; Actinopteri; Cypriniformes; Cyprinidae.